Ictalurus punctatus (channel catfish) is the source of this 5194-nucleotide long non-coding RNA. The record is from Ensembl. NCBI's taxonomy places the organism in Eukaryota, Metazoa, Chordata, Actinopteri, Siluriformes, Ictaluridae.
CCGACACACACACACACACCAUUCUUGAGCUAUGUGUGUGUGUGUGUGUGUGUGUGUGUGUGUGUGUGUGUGUGUUAACACAAUGCGAGGACUAUAAGAGGGUCUUUAUCUGCUACUGAUGGGGAACAAGGGAACGGGGCAAUGCUUAAGAUUCCAUUCAUUGGUGAAGACACACACACACACACACACACACACACACACACACAGAGAACCUACUCUCUCUCAUACACACACUCCAUUAAUGCAGAUGGGUGUAAAUGAUACAACAUGAGAGGACUUACGUUUCAGGUAACACAACCCAGCCAGCUGCUCUUGGGGGUCUCGCAUAACUGGCUGCACACACAGCAAACAGCCAGUGGGUGUGUGUAUAUGUAUGUGUAUGUGUGAGUGUGUGUGUGUGUGUGUGUGUGUGUGUGUGUUUUACACAGUUAAAAUGGAAACCCUGAAACCAGGUCCCUGCACCUGCUACAUAACCCUGUUAUUAGACUAUAUGGCAGUGUUCCAAAGCUUACUGAGCAAAACUCACUAAAACGGUAACGCUUGCACGGGCUUUUUUUCUUUCUUUCUUGUUUUUUCUCCUUUCUUUCUGUUUUUUUUUUCCUCUCGGUUUAGCUGAGAAGUUACUCUUUAUUAGCUUGGUCUUGGAGGGAAGUCAAAAGGAAAGCACUCUUAAAUAUCAGAAUGCACGCAUCACUCUGGCCUGGUGAGUAUCUCCUCGCACCAGCGAUAAGCUACGGCAAUAUGGCAUCCGUUUCUGCUUGUUUUGUUGGCCUGCAGCCCAGGCUUCAUUGUUCUGCCUCCGUAUCCUGCCCUGCACUCAUUUACUGCUCCCUCCUUCCCUAUUUGUUCGCCGUGGCAACCGUCCCGCCUGCUGAUUGGUCAGCAAUAGCUGGCAGUUCAAUUAGCCAGUAAUGUCAUGUUUACCUUUCAGACCGCAGAGGGGGAAGUCCCUAGCAAACACACACACACACACACACACACACAUAUAUCUAUAUAUAUAUUAUAUAUAUAUAUAUAUAUAUACACCCACACACACGUUUGUCUUACUAUCCUUGUGAGAGCCUUAAUUAUUAACGCAGCUAAUUAAACACUAUGCCCACACCUAGCCCUAACCCUGGCUUUAACCUCACUAACCAAAAGGCUCAGGUUUAACACGCCUGUUCACACACAUGUGCGCUCCCCCCCUCCACCCCCGCACACACACACACACCCAAGUGUAACAUGACAAUGUUUUUCAUUUCUAUCUGUGCGUCGUGCAUUUGCACACUUGUUUCCUUCGACAUUUUAUAAGUCCACCAGGCACGCUAAGGAAAAGCAAGGCCGCUAAUCUGUACCAUCCAUUGUGACUGAGGUAAUAUCUCAAGGGGAUACUUUUUGUACCUUUUAUAUGUAUCUUUUACCUAGAAAGGUGGAUGAAGUGUACUUCAAUACGGUAUAAUUAUGCACUUUCAAUCUUUUUCAGAUGACACAUUUCAUACAUAUUCAAGGCACAAACGAAAAAGGAUACCACCCCACUAACAUGAUACACUACGGUUUAGUACAAUAUUUAUUUUUUUUUAAAGUGCACCGAUUAUGGUUUUUCAAAUAUUACCUUUCAUGUAGUGCGUUAGAGCUGUUUGUGAAUGUAAAAGUCUGCAAAGUCUCAAAAAUCAAAGCGCAUGACGAACGGAGUUAUUGACUCCCGAAAGAAGGAAGUGAUUCUACGUAGGUUUGUAACAGACGGAGCUGAAACUCGCUAUAGUAGUGGGCGUUUCCUUUUCGACACGUGCAGACCAAUCACAACAGACUGGGACGACUGACCAAUCAGAGCAGAGUAUGCUCUCUGAAAGGAGGAGUUUGGAAUGAAUCCUUUAGAACGGAUCACUGAACGAGUCGUUUGUGACACUGGGGGGAAAAAGGUAAUGCUGCAGUUUAAAUUAUGAGCACGUUAAAGUGUUUUUUGGCCUUGGGUGCAUGUAAAAUCUGUUGUAUGAGACCUUUAAAACAAAAUUAGGCAAAUGUCAACGAAAAUGGACACGAGAAACAUUGCCGUGUUGCAUGUCGCGUGUGUACGAGAGUGUACCACCGUGUGCAUGCCUCCAGAAGGUACUCCGGUUAUAACUUCACUCGAGCAAGUUAACAUGCAGAAACCAUACUUACCAGCAUCAGCUAAUGUCAACUGGAUGCUUAACUCACUGACAGGGAUCAUGUAUGGAAACCUGAGCAUGUAAGACUUGUCAGAAAGACAAUGUCCGAAAAAAAAAAAAACCUUCGGAGAUUUUCAUAGCUGUGGAUUCGAGCGUGCGCUGAGAUGAAUCUCUAACUUGAAUAUCCGUGCCUGAACUACUCUCUGAAACACUCGCUCGCUCUCUCUCUUCGGGAAAUACAUCGCGCUUCUAGGACCGUGCUGUGCUUCAAGAUGACAAAGCGACGCUGACGUCACCUUUGAUUGCGAUUUACAAAUCCCAGCGUGGUCUUUUCAAGGUAGUUAAAGAAACUCCAUGGAAAGAACAGAAGGACAUGGCACAAGAAGGAAACGACACUGGAGGAGAGGAUUUGAAGAAAGAAGAGCGGGCAAGAGAGGGACUCCCUCGCUCGGCGGGUGCCAGUUGUAUAAUGAGUGUGUCAGUGUUGGUUAGUGUGUGUCGACCGCGCCAGCUCUCUGCCUGUGGACAGCUCUCAUUAGCCCUGUAAUGGCAUGCCACUGGGCCUGUGGGGAGAGAGAGAGAGAGAGAGAGAGAGAGAGAGAGAGAGAGAGAGAGAGAGAGAGCUACAAGUACAGAAUGAUGGAAAGAAUGAAAAAGGUGGAUUCCUCGAAAAACAGAAAGGAACAGGGAGUAAGUGGAGAGUGACAGAAGGACGGCGAGAGGAGGACGCGGCCCGGAGGAGACGAAAACGGAUGUCUAAACAGAUCCUCCAGCCGCGCUGAUCUCUAUUAACUCCUGGUCGGCUCGCUUUAACCACCGAGCCACUGCAGCUCAUCCUGUACGCACACUCAUUAAGCCCGGAGAGAUAAUGAUCCACCUAGGACGAUGAUGAAAAUGUUCGGCGCCAUGCGGGGAUGAUGAGUGCGUUUCGGAAUUCUUGCUGGUUCAGAGGUCGCCAAAUACGAACGAGAAAGCUGGUAGCACUUGUGUAGAAUUAGACGGGUGACGGAUUAAAAGACACACCGGCAGGAAACGUCUUAGUAACGUGUUACGCCAGCACAAACCACCAGAACGAGACUUGAACCUGUCCCAGUACCAUUCUUCCAGUAGAUAUUCUCUCAGUUGGUGUUUCGAUGAUAGUGACAUCCAAACCAGGGUGUAUUCCCUCCUCACUCCCAGUGUUAGGCUCUGUAGUUGGUUACUAAAGGUGAAUGAAUGAAUGGAUUUGGAAUUCAAGUUCAUCCAAAGCAAUGAACUGAGACUACAGUUAAGGGUGAAAAGUCUUGUUUGAGUCUCACCGGUGGUUCUCUGGGAGUUCCGGUACCUUCUGAUCCCUGCCUUCGGCUGUCAUAAGAACAGCAAAUGUAAACACUGUAUCGGGGUAUUUUUCCGUGUGUGUUUUCUCCUGUCUGCUCGCGUCAUGUCUUUCUCGCUACCUCCAGCUUUGCCCAAGGCUGCCCUCUUCUGCGUCUUAUCAAUCAAACUGCUCCGGAAUGAUAAGCGUUGAAUGUCGGUUUCGCAACUUUUCAUGCCAAUCAGUGGCUGUGAUGACAUGCCGGGAUGUGUUCGUACAGAGAGAGGUGUGCCUUUGAUUGGAAUACUGCAAUAACAAGCAUUUAAUCUGUUUAAAGCGGCAUGUUCCACUCAUGCCGCGUUUGUUUUACUUACACCGGAUUUGUACGAGAAACGUUCCGCGCGCGGUUUCUCUGGACGUGGAUUACGCCGAGUGCUGGACUUGAUUAGUCCGACAAUGGGGGGGAAAAGGUGUCGUGCGUAAAUCUGCGGCAAUAUAGGAACCCUUCUGCUUUGUAUAUCUGCCACCAUAAACAUGCACGGAGACGGUAGAGAGAGAUGGGUCUUGCAAUGUCACAGACAUGAAGAUCGGCUCAUUACAGACUGCGGCUGGUAUUAAAGUUAAGAGCUUUUAUACAGGAGCACUUCCACAGCUGUGAUGGUGGCAUUUAGGCCUUUAGAUCCAAAACAACGUGUAUGUGUGAGCGUGUGCGAUGUGUUAAGUGUGUGCAUCUGUGUAUGAACGAAGAGGAGAGAGUUAAAACUCUUAUCUCUGGGCUGCAGAAGACAUUCCUCUAUGAGGCCACAGUUCGCUGGUUUCCUGCCCACUUGCCCAAUGCCCUAUUUUUACCCCCUGCCUUUACCAGUACCCGAGGCAGCCUUUUCCUCCUAACACACACACACUUCCUGCCAUUGACAUACCUCCUCGACACCGGCUUGCAAAUGGGAAUACCCCAUGCCUUGCUACUGUUACCUCUUUGUGCAAGAGGUAGGGAUCACACGAGUGCACUACAUAUAGCCUACGGUUCCAAAGAGCCAACCUGACUAGCCUAGGAGAUGACUUCAGAACAUUUCCAUAUUUCUGAAUGAAAAGGGGAAAGUGUAAGGGGUGGGGGGGGGGGGGGGGAUUAUGGGUGUAGCAUGGCACAAGACAAAAGCUAAGAGAGACGGGAGGGACGAGAGGAUGAUAGAUAAUACUUUCCGUCCUGCUGUCUUCUGGCAUGAUCACUUGAUCACGGUCUUUGAUAAGCAAUGACGCUUUCAUCCAUGCAUCCAUCCAUCCAUCUUCUAUACCGCUUUAUCCUUUUCAGGGUCACGGGGAACCUGGAGCCUAUCCCAGGGAGCAUGGGGCACAAGGUGGGUACACCCUGGACAGGGUGCCGAUCCAUCGCCCAUUCCACACCCAUUCAUACACUACGGACACUUUGGACACGCCAAUCAGCCUACCAUGCAUGUCUUUGGACUGGGGGAGGAAACCGGAGUACCCGGAGGAAACCCCCGCAGCACGGGGAGAACAUGCAAACUCCGCACACACAGGGUCACGGUGUAAUCGAACCCCCGACCCUGGAGGUGUGAGGCGAACGUGCUGACCUCUAAGGCGAUGACGCUUUUACAGCUGCAAAAUCUAUGUUCAAAAGUAGGUUCGUUGCAAAUUAUUCUCAUCAACCCCAAACAUAAGACCGACUGUUUCUCGAGCAUUUUCUUCACGUGUUCUUGGUUUCGCCUGACUGCUGAAACCAUGGUCUGCAAAGAGCUGGCAAAGCCUGUACAGAGUC